Molecule: ribosomal RNA, 256 nt
Filed under: uncultured bacterium
Lineage: Bacteria
Description: partial 16S ribosomal RNA
Rfam family: Bacterial small subunit ribosomal RNA
Source: RNAcentral
UACGUAGGGUGCGAGCGUUUGUCCGGAAUUAUUGGGCGUAAAGAGCUUGUAGGCGGUUUGUCGCGUCUGCUGUGAAAAUCCGGGGCUCAACCCCGGACUUGCAGUGGGUACGGGGCAGACUAGAGUGUGGUAGGGGGAGACUGGAAUUCCUGGUGUAGCGGUGAAAUGCGCAGAUAUCAGGAGGAACACCGAUGGCGAAGGCAGGUCUCUGGGCCACUACUGACGUGAGAAGCGAAAGCAUGGGGGAGCGAACAGG